RNAcentral lists this ribosomal RNA (645 nucleotides) under uncultured bacterium. RNAcentral's name for it is "bacterial SSU rRNA". It matches the Rfam family "Bacterial small subunit ribosomal RNA", at positions 202 to 842 of the family's 1533-position model. The record is from RNAcentral.
CAAAGGAGGCGACUCCGGAGGCGGAUGGGCAUGCGUGACAUUAGCUUGUUGGCGGGGUAACGGCCCACCAAGGCGACGAUGUCUAGGGGUUCUGAGAGGAAGGUCCCCCACACUGGUACUGAGACACGGACCAGACUCCUACGGGAGGCAGCAGUGAGGAAUAUUGGUCAAUGGGCGAGAGCCUGAACCAGCCAAGUCGCGUGAAGGAUGACGGCCCUACGGGUUGUAAACUUCUUUUGUCAGGGAGCAAUUGGGUCCACGUGUGGGCUUAGCGAGAGUACCUGAAGAAAAAGCAUCGGCUAACUCCGUGCCAGCAGCCGCGGUAAUACGGAGGAUGCGAGCGUUAUCCGGAUUUAUUGGGUUUAAAGGGUGCGUAGGCGGAAUAUCAAGUCAGCGGUAAAAAUUCGGGGCUCAACCCCGUCGUGCCGUUGAAACUGAUGUUCUUGAGUGGGCGAGAAGUAUGCGGAAUGCGUGGUGUAGCGGUGAAAUGCAUAGAUAUCACGCAGAACUCCGAUUGCGAAGGCAGCAUACCGGCGCCCAACUGACGCUGAAGCACGAAAGCGUGGGUAUCGAACAGGAUUAGAUACCCUGGUAGUCCACGCAGUAAACGAUGAAUGCUAAUUGUCCGGAGGGAUUGACCUCUGG